RNAcentral lists this ribosomal RNA (471 nucleotides) under uncultured bacterium. RNAcentral's name for it is "bacterial SSU rRNA". It matches the Rfam family "Bacterial small subunit ribosomal RNA", at positions 103 to 573 of the family's 1533-position model. The record is from RNAcentral.
CGGGUGAGUAACGCGUAUGCAACCUGCCCUUCACAGGGGGAUAACCGGGAGAAAUUCCGACUAAUACCGCAUACGUCCUCCGGGGGCAUCCCCGGGGGAUGAAAGAAUUAUCGGUGAAGGAUGGGCAUGCGUGAUAUUAGGUAGUUGGCGGGGCAACGGCCCACCAAGCCGACGAUGUCUAGGGGUUCUGAGAGGAAGGUCCCCCACACUGGAACUGAGACACGGUCCAGACUCCUACGGGAGGCAGCAGUGAGGAAUAUUGGUCAAUGGGCGAGAGCCUGAACCAGCCAAGUCGCGUGAGGGAAGAAUGGUCUAUGGCCUGUAAACCUCUUUUGUCAAGGAAGAAUAAGGAUGACGAGUCAUUCGAUGCCAGUACUUGACGAAUAAGCAUCGGCUAACUCCGUGCCAGCAGCCGCGGUAAUACGGAGGAUGCGAGCGUUAUCCGGAUUUAUUGGGUUUAAAGGGAGCGCA